UAUGUAGGUGGCAAGCGUUGUCCGGAUUUACUGGGCGUAAAGAGCGCGCAGGCGGUCGUUCAAGUCGCGUGUGAAAGCCCCCGGCUCAACUGGGGAGGGUCACGCGAUACUGAUCGACUCGAAGGCAGGAGAGGGAAGUGGAAUUCCCGGUGUAGUGGUGAAAUGCGUAGAUAUUCGGAGGAACACCAGUGGCGAAGGCGGCUCACUGGUCCGGUACUGACGCUGAGGUGCGAAAGCGUGGGGAGCAAACAGG
RNAcentral lists this ribosomal RNA (253 nucleotides) under uncultured bacterium. RNAcentral's name for it is "partial 16S ribosomal RNA". It matches the Rfam family "Bacterial small subunit ribosomal RNA", at positions 524 to 776 of the family's 1533-position model. The record is from RNAcentral.